GCUUUCGCCUGUGACGAAGCGUGAGUGACGGUAAUGGGUAAAGAAGCACCGGCUAACUACGUGCCAGCAGCCGCGGUGAUACGUAGGGUGCGAGCGUUGUCCGGAUUUAUUGGGCGUAAAGGGCUCGUAGGUGGUUGAUCGCGUCGGAAGUGUAAUCUUGGGGCUUAACCCUGAGCGUGCUUUCGAUACGGGUUGACUUGAGGAAGGUAGGGGAGAAUGGAAUUCCUGGUGGAGCGGUGGAAUGCGCAGAUAUCAGGAGGAACACCAGUGGCGAAGGCGGUUCUCUGGGCCUUUCCUGACGCUGAGGAGCGAAAGCGUGGGGAGCGAACAGGCUUAGAUACCCUGGUAGUCCACGCUGUAAACGGUGGGUACUAGGUGUGGGGUCCAUUCCACGGGUUCCGUGCCGUAGCUAACGCUUUAAGUACCCCGCCUGGGGAGUACGGCCGCAAGGCUAAAACUCAAAGG
This 465-nucleotide ribosomal RNA is filed under the name uncultured bacterium. Its description in RNAcentral is "bacterial SSU rRNA". It matches the Rfam family "Bacterial small subunit ribosomal RNA", at positions 432 to 907 of the family's 1533-position model. The record is from RNAcentral.